CAACGCCUAAACAUUUUAGAAACUCUGACAACGCGAGUCACUUUGGCCGUCUAACGCAGCCGCCAAGUGCCGUCUGAAGCUAUCGCCGCACCACCACCGCCGGCCCUGUUCUCCCGUCCUCUUCCAGCAACCCUUGUCUCCCCCUUUAUUCCUCCUCAGCCACCGAAUUGAAAAGGCGAUUGGAAGCCGCGUUCUGUCUAUUUCUGUCUCGCCAUGGCUUCAGAUAGCUUAGCUUUGUCAGGUCUACAAAUUUGGACUCCUGGACUUCUGAGCAACUUAAGACAAUGGUUUUUGGAGGCAACAACUGGGCGCAAGUUUUCUUUAAGCAGCAUGGGUGGACAGAUGGUGGCAAAACUGAGGCAAAGUAUACAUCUAGAGCAGCUGAGUUGUAUAAGCAGAUACUUUCAAAAGAGAUACCCCAAGGACAACAUGAAUGAUGAGAAGCCCAAGCCUGAAACUACACAUUCACCUGAAGCUCCUAUCCGUUCUACCGUCUUAUCCUCUAUCAAGAAACCCAUUGGUACGAAGAAGACCGGAGGGAAGACUGGUGGGCUUGGUGUAAAGAAGCUUACAACAAAGCCAAAUGAAAGUCUCUAUGAUCAGAGGCCUGAAGAACCAGCUCCUGCUGCAACAUCUUUAGCUAAAUCAAAGAUAACAGAUGUCCCAUCAUUUCCUUCUCAGUUUGAGUAUGUGGAGAACACUGCUAUUGAUAAUAAUGCUGGAGGUGCUCAAGUGAUUGAACAUGUUGCUCCACCAAAAUCUUUAAGCUUCUUUGCAGAGUUUGGAGUAGACAGUGGAUUCCAGAAAAAGUUAAGCUCAACUUCAUCAAAGGUGCAGGAAAGUAAUGAGGCAAGGCAGAAAUUCUCGAAUGUCAAGUCAAUUUCUUCAGCACAGUUCUUUGGAGAAAACAAAACAAGUAGUGAGAAUGAGACGCACAGGACGCUGCAAAGGUUCACAGUGUCAGUAUGUGCAAUUUACAACCAUAAUUUGUGUCAAAGACUCCAAAGCCAUUUCAAAUGCCGAUCUGUUUGGUAAUGGUACAUAAGAUCCUGGUCUAGCUUUUGCUACUGCAGAUCUCAUCAACCGUGUCUCUUUCCAGGCGUCUGAGGAUUUAUCUUCCCUCACGAACAUUGCUGGGGAGACUCGCAAGAAAUUGACUUCCAUUGCUUCCAGCCUUAUCUAUGAUCUUCAGGAUAGAAUCCUUUAGCUGAGUUAGCGCAUUAUCAGUGACUGGCUGCUCAACCACAAGUCUACAACGAUUGGUUCAAAACAUCACAAACGUUUUUUUUCUAGAGUUGUUACUGAAAUUUGGUUAUUGUACGCAUUUUCUACUUACAUUCGAUUUGUUAUGUAGCUAUUAUUUCAUCAAACAGAAGUUUGUGUAUCUCAUUUGAACUAUUUACUCGGAUCAAUAUUUGUUUUGUAUUUAAAAAUGAACGUAUCCAUGUUUCUCAUGAGUACAUAUAUGGCGUGGACCCAAAUAA
Zingiber officinale is the source of this 1484-nucleotide RNA transcript. It is a transcript of the gene named probable ADP-ribosylation factor GTPase-activating protein AGD8, with no coding region annotated. The transcript has 7 exons. NCBI's taxonomy places the organism in Eukaryota, Viridiplantae, Streptophyta, Magnoliopsida, Zingiberales, Zingiberaceae. The record is from RefSeq and is a predicted model, not a curated record.